This 254-nucleotide ribosomal RNA is filed under the name uncultured bacterium. RNAcentral describes it as "partial 16S ribosomal RNA". It matches the Rfam family "Bacterial small subunit ribosomal RNA", at positions 524 to 776 of the family's 1533-position model. The record is from RNAcentral.
UACGUAGGGGGCGAGCGUUGUCCGGAUUCAUUGGGCGUAAAGAGCUCGUAGGCGGCUUGGCAAGUCGGAUGUGAAAACUCCAGGCUCAACCUGGAGCCGCCAUUCGAUACUGCUAUGGCUAGAGUCCGGUAGGGGAGUGUGGAAUUCCCGGUGUAGCGGUGGAAUGCGCAGAUAUCGGGAGGAACACCGAUGGCGAAGGCAGCACUCUGGGCCGGUACUGACGCUGAGGAGCGAAAGCGUGGGGAGCGAACAGG